This 767-nucleotide ribosomal RNA is filed under the name uncultured bacterium. RNAcentral describes it as "bacterial SSU rRNA". It matches the Rfam family "Bacterial small subunit ribosomal RNA", at positions 78 to 845 of the family's 1533-position model. The record is from RNAcentral.
AGUGAUGUAUGAGUUAGUGGCGGACGGGUGAGUAACGCGUGGAGAACCUGCCGUAUACUGGGGGAUAACACUUAGAAAUAGGUGCUAAUACCGCAUAAGCGCACAGCUUCGCAUGAAGCAGUGUGAAAAACUCCGGUGGUAUACGAUGGAUCCGCGUCUGAUUAGCUGGUUGGCGGGGUAACAGCCCACCAAGGCGACGAUCAGUAGCCGGCCUGAGAGGGUGAACGGCCACAUUGGGACUGAGACACGGCCCAAACUCCUACGGGAGGCAGCAGUGGGGAAUAUUGCACAAUGGGGGAAACCCUGAUGCAGCGACGCCGCGUGAGUGAAGAAGUAUUUCGGUAUGUAAAGCUCUAUCAGCAGGGAAGAAAUACUGACCUUACGGUCAGCAGACGGUACCUGACUAAGAAGCCCCGGCUAACUACGUGCCAGCAGCCGCGGUAAUACGUAGGGGGCAAGCGUUAUCCGGAUUUACUGGGUGUAAAGGGAGCGUAGACGGCAGCGCAAGUCUGAAGUGAAAUCCCAUGGCUUAACCAUGGAACUGCUUUGGAAACUGUGCAGCUGGAGUGCAGGAGAGGUAAGCGGAAUUCCUAGUGUAGCGGUGAAAUGCGUAGAUAUUAGGAGGAACACCAGUGGCGAAGGCGGCUUGCUGGACUGUAACUGACGUUGAGGCUCGAAAGCGUGGGGAGCAAACAGGAUUAGAUACCCUGGUAGUCCACGCCGUAAACGAUGAUUACUAGGUGUUGGGGGACCAAGGUCCUUCGGUG